This is a long non-coding RNA of Mugil cephalus (flathead mullet), 662 nucleotides long. RefSeq lists it as uncharacterized. The transcript is spliced from 5 exons. The record is from RefSeq and is a predicted model, not a curated record. Lineage: Eukaryota; Metazoa; Chordata; Actinopteri; Mugiliformes; Mugilidae.
UACAAUAACGUGAAUCCUGAAUCUUUUUCAUGUGUCACAUGGAGCCAGUCUCAGAGAACCAGUCAGAUCCCUGCCACAGUCCAGACUGUCAGCCAGGAUGAAAAUCAGCAGCACAUAUACUACUCUCUUCUCCACGGUGAUGCUUGUGUCUAUGAGUCACUCAGAGGUCCUGAAAACACUGGAGAUGUUGGACGGGCCGGUGUCUCCACAAAUGUCAAAUCUCAGACUGAGCUCAGAGAUGUUGGACAGAGGAGAAAACGAGGUGAUCCAGGGAAGAGCUCCGACUACUAGAAUGUGAAUCCAGACUCAUCUACAGGUCCAUAAAGAGAAGUGCAUCAUCAAUGAAACAAGACAAGUCUGGACAACAACAUGAAAAACAACAUUGAUCUGUAAACAUGUGUUUGAUGACAUUUAUUCAACUGCUGCCAUCCAGACAUCAGACACACAGUCAUUAAUGAAGAUCAGAUGAAAGAAUGACCUCAUCUGGAUUUAAUGUCUGUAUCAAUGUCAACACUGAUGAUACUGUCUGAUUAUUAUAUCUAUUGUUGUUGCAUUGAUGUGGUCAAUCUGCAGGUUAAAUACACCAUCUAUCUAUAGACUGUAACAUGAUGUAUAUUCUACUUUAUUUCUGUUUAGUCUCAUCAAUAACUCAGUUCAUUAAA